UUCGCAAUGCCCGAAAGGGUGACGAAGCGACGCCGCGUGGGUGAGGAAGGCCCUCGGGUUGUAAAGCCCUGUCAGGAGUUAAGAAAUGUAGAUACGUUAAUAUCGUAUCUAUUUGACAAAGGCUCCAAAGGAAGCCACGGCUAACUCUGUGCCAGCAGCCGCGGUAAUACAGAGGUGGCAAGCGUUGUUCGGAAUUAUUGGGCGUAAAGAGCACGUAGGUGGAUUUGUAAGUCAGAUGUGAAAGCCUUCUGUUCAACGGAAGAAUUGCAUCUGAAACUACAAACCUUGAGUAUAGGAGGGGAGAAUGGAACUUCUGGUGGAGCGGUGAAAUGCGUAGAUAUCAGAAGGAACGCCGGCGGCGAAAGCGAUUCUCUGGCCUAUUACUGACACUCAGUGUGCGAAAGCUAGGGGAGCAAACGGGAUUAGAUACCCCGGUAGUCCUAGCCGUAAACGAUGGGCACUAAGUAGA
RNAcentral lists this ribosomal RNA (469 nucleotides) under uncultured anaerobic ammonium-oxidizing bacterium. RNAcentral describes it as "bacterial SSU rRNA". It matches the Rfam family "Bacterial small subunit ribosomal RNA", at positions 365 to 824 of the family's 1533-position model. The record is from RNAcentral.